This 2908-nucleotide ribosomal RNA is filed under the name Salmonella enterica subsp. enterica. RNAcentral describes it as "23S ribosomal RNA". It matches the Rfam family "Bacterial large subunit ribosomal RNA". The record is from RNAcentral. Lineage: Bacteria; Pseudomonadati; Pseudomonadota; Gammaproteobacteria; Enterobacterales; Enterobacteriaceae.
GGUUAAGCGACCAAGCGUACACGGUGGAUGCCCUGGCAGUCAGAGGCGAUGAAGGACGUGCUAAUCUGCGAUAAGCGCCGGUAAGGUGAUAUGAACCGUUAUAACCGGCGAUUUCCGAAUGGGGAAACCCAGUGUGAUUCGUCACACUAUCAUUAACUGAAUCCAUAGGUUAAUGAGGCGAACCGGGGGAACUGAAACAUCUAAGUACCCCGAGGAAAAGAAAUCAACCGAGAUUCCCCCAGUAGCGGCGAGCGAACGGGGAGGAGCCCAGAGCCUGAAUCAGCAUGUGUGUUAGUGGAAGCGUCUGGAAAGGCGCGCGAUACAGGGUGACAGCCCCGUACACAAAAGCGCAUGUGCUGUGAGCUCGAUGAGUAGGGCGGGACACGUGGUAUCCUGUCUGAAUAUGGGGGGACCAUCCUCCAAGGCUAAAUACUCCUGACUGACCGAUAGUGAACCAGUACCGUGAGGGAAAGGCGAAAAGAACCCCGGCGAGGGGAGUGAAACAGAACCUGAAACCGUGUACGUACAAGCAGUGGGAGCACAGGUUUACCUGUGUGACUGCGUACCUUUUGUAUAAUGGGUCAGCGACUUAUAUUCUGUAGCAAGGUUAACCGCAUAGGGGAGCCGAAGGGAAACCGAGUCUUAACCGGGCGUUAAGUUGCAGGGUAUAGACCCGAAACCCGGUGAUCUAGCCAUGGGCAGGUUGAAGGUUGGGUAACACUAACUGGAGGACCGAACCGACUAAUGUUGAAAAAUUAGCGGAUGACCUGUGGCUGGGGGUGAAAGGCCAAUCAAACCGGGAGAUAGCUGGUUCUCCCCGAAAGCUAUUUAGGUAGCGCCUCGUGAACUCAUCUCCGGGGGUAGAGCACUGUUUCGGCUAGGGGGCCAUCCCGGCUUACCAACCCGAUGCAAACUGCGAAUACCGGAGAAUGUUAUCACGGGAGACACACGGCGGGUGCUAACGUCCGUCGUGAAGAGGGAAACAACCCAGACCGCCAGCUAAGGUCCCAAAGUCAUGGUUAAGUGGGAAACGAUGUGGGAAGGCCCAGACAGCCAGGAUGUUGGCUUAGAAGCAGCCAUCAUUUAAAGAAAGCGUAAUAGCUCACUGGUCGAGUCGGCCUGCGCGGAAGAUGUAACGGGGCUAAACCAUGCACCGAAGCUGCGGCAGCGACGCUUAUGCGUUGUUGGGUAGGGGAGCGUUCUGUAAGCCUGCGAAGGUGGCCUGUGAGGGUUGCUGGAGGUAUCAGAAGUGCGAAUGCUGACAUAAGUAACGAUAAAGCGGGUGAAAAGCCCGCUCGCCGGAAGACCAAGGGUUCCUGUCCAACGUUAAUCGGGGCAGGGUGAGUCGACCCCUAAGGCGAGGCCGAAAGGCGUAGUCGAUGGGAAACGGGUUAAUAUUCCCGUACUUGGUGUUACUGCGAAGGGGGGACGGAGAAGGCUAUGUUGGCCGGGCGACGGUUGUCCCGGUUUAAGCGUGUAGGUGUGUGUUCCAGGUAAAUCCGGUUCACUUUAACACUGAGGCGUGAUGACGAGGCACCACGGUGCUGAAGCAACAAAUGCCCUGCUUCCAGGAAAAGCCUCUAAGCAUCAGGUAACAUCAAAUCGUACCCCAAACCGACACAGGUGGUCAGGUAGAGAAUACCAAGGCGCUUGAGAGAACUCGGGUGAAGGAACUAGGCAAAAUGGUGCCGUAACUUCGGGAGAAGGCACGCUGACACGUAGGUGAAGUGGUUUACCCAUGGAGCUGAAGUCAGUCGAAGAUACCAGCUGGCUGCAACUGUUUAUUAAAAACACAGCACUGUGCAAACACGAAAGUGGACGUAUACGGUGUGACGCCUGCCCGGUGCCGGAAGGUUAAUUGAUGGGGUCAGCGCAAGCGAAGCUCCUGAUCGAAGCCCCGGUAAACGGCGGCCGUAACUAUAACGGUCCUAAGGUAGCGAAAUUCCUUGUCGGGUAAGUUCCGACCUGCACGAAUGGCGUAAUGAUGGCCAGGCUGUCUCCACCCGAGACUCAGUGAAAUUGAACUCGCUGUGAAGAUGCAGUGUACCCGCGGCAAGACGGAAAGACCCCGUGAACCUUUACUAUAGCUUGACACUGAACAUUGAGCCUUGAUGUGUAGGAUAGGUGGGAGGCUUUGAAGCGUGGACGCCAGUCUGCGUGGAGCCAACCUUGAAAUACCACCCUUUAAUGUUUGAUGUUCUAACGUGGACCCGUGAUCCGGGUUGCGGACAGUGUCUGGUGGGUAGUUUGACUGGGGCGGUCUCCUCCUAAAGAGUAACGGAGGAGCACGAAGGUUGGCUAAUCCUGGUCGGACAUCAGGAGGUUAGUGCAAUGGCAUAAGCCAGCUUGACUGCGAGCGUGACGGCGCGAGCAGGUGCGAAAGCAGGUCAUAGUGAUCCGGUGGUUCUGAAUGGAAGGGCCAUCGCUCAACGGAUAAAAGGUACUCCGGGGAUAACAGGCUGAUACCGCCCAAGAGUUCAUAUCGACGGCGGUGUUUGGCACCUCGAUGUCGGCUCAUCACAUCCUGGGGCUGAAGUAGGUCCCAAGGGUAUGGCUGUUCGCCAUUUAAAGUGGUACGCGAGCUGGGUUUAGAACGUCGUGAGACAGUUCGGUCCCUAUCUGCCGUGGGCGCUGGAGAACUGAGGGGGGCUGCUCCUAGUACGAGAGGACCGGAGUGGACGCAUCACUGGUGUUCGGGUUGUCAUGCCAAUGGCACUGCCCGGUAGCUAAAUGCGGAAGAGAUAAGUGCUGAAAGCAUCUAAGCACGAAACUUGCCCCGAGAUGAGUUCUCCCUGAGACUUAGAGUCUCCUGAAGGAACGUUGAAGACGACGACGUUGAUAGGCCGGGUGUGUAAGCGCAGCGAUGCGUUGAGCUAACCGGUACUAAUGAACCGUGAGGCUUAACCUU